CACGGGGGGCGCAAGCGUUAUUCGGAAUUAUUGGGCGUAAAGGGCGCGUAGGCGGUCUUAUCGGUCAGAUGUGAAAGCCCGGGGCUCAACCCUGGAAGUGCAUUUGAAACAGUAAGACUUGAGUACGGGAGAGGAAAGCGGAAUUCCUGGUGUAGAGGUGAAAUUCGUAGAUAUCAGGAGGAACACCGAUGGCGAAGGCAGCUUUCUGGACCGAUACUGACGCUGAGGCGCGAAGGCGUGGGUAG
Molecule: ribosomal RNA, 245 nt
Filed under: uncultured Desulfotignum sp.
Lineage: Bacteria; Pseudomonadati; Thermodesulfobacteriota; Desulfobacteria; Desulfobacterales; Desulfobacteraceae
Description: partial 16S ribosomal RNA
Rfam family: Bacterial small subunit ribosomal RNA
Source: RNAcentral